AUCGCUUCUCGGCCUUUUGGCUAAGAUCAAGUUUGGUAUCUGUUCUUAUCAGUUUAAAUAAUUCCCUCACAUUAACAUUGAGACCAUAUUAUAAAUAUGAUAGAGCUGAUCAGGACUCCCAUGGAAGGGGGAUAGGUUUGAGGACUGUCCCCUGAUGAGGUCACUCAAACCUAUU
This 175-nucleotide small RNA is filed under the name Marmota monax (woodchuck). RNAcentral describes it as "U2 spliceosomal RNA". The stretch from base 1 to 121 matches the Rfam family "U2 spliceosomal RNA". From Rfam's summary of the family: U2 is a small nuclear RNA (snRNA) component of the spliceosome (involved in pre-mRNA splicing). The record is from Rfam by way of RNAcentral. Lineage: Eukaryota; Metazoa; Chordata; Mammalia; Rodentia; Sciuridae.